Molecule: transfer RNA, 74 nt
Filed under: Ascidiella aspersa
Lineage: Eukaryota; Metazoa; Chordata; Ascidiacea; Phlebobranchia; Ascidiidae
Description: transfer RNA-Tyr
Source: RNAcentral
AGUCUGGUGUCUGAUAAAAGUGGUAAAUUGUAAAUUUAUUUAUGAAGGCGGUUAGUCCAUGCUUUCCUGGGCUA